UUUUGUUUUGUGUUUGAAAAUGCAAAUGAUGCAUGAAUGUUUUAUUUUUUUGUUUUUAAUGCAAAGAUCUUUAGUUAUUUAUGUUGUUUAUUGCAAGAAAUACUUAACGAUUUACGUUUGUAAUCAAGAAUAAAGGAAAGCAACAAAGUGAAUCACAAAAGCUUCAUUCGUCCUUUGAAGGGAAUCAUAUAAAUUAUAAAUACAUUGGAA
This 210-nucleotide long non-coding RNA is filed under the name Lathyrus oleraceus (garden pea). RNAcentral describes it as "Pisum sativum (pea) long non-coding RNA (PSAT_LNC011592)". The record is from RNAcentral. Lineage: Eukaryota; Viridiplantae; Streptophyta; Magnoliopsida; Fabales; Fabaceae.